This 467-nucleotide ribosomal RNA is filed under the name uncultured bacterium. RNAcentral's name for it is "partial 16S ribosomal RNA". It matches the Rfam family "Bacterial small subunit ribosomal RNA", at positions 329 to 792 of the family's 1533-position model. The record is from RNAcentral.
UUCCAGACUCCUACGGGAGGCAGCAGUGAGGAAUAUUGGUCAAUGGGCGGGAGCCUGAACCAGCCAAGUCGCGUGAGGGAAGACGGUCCUAUGGAUUGUAAACCUCUUUAGGCGGGGAGCAAUGCCGGGCACGCGUGCCCGGAGGGAGAGUACCCGCAGAAUAAGCAUCGGCUAACUCCGUGCCAGCAGCCGCGGUAAUACGGAGGAUGCGAGCGUUAUCCGGAUUUAUUGGGUGUAAAGGGCGUGUAGGCGGGAAAGCAAGUCAGAUGUGAAAACCAUGGGCUCAACCUGUGGCCUGCAUUUGAAACUGUUUUUCUUGAGUACUGGAGAGGCAGACGGAAUUCCUAGUGUAGCGGUGAAAUGCGUAGAUAUUAGGAGGAACACCAGUGGCGAAGGCGGUCUGCUGGACAGCAACUGACGCUGAGGCGCGAAAGCGUGGGGAGCAAACAGGAUUAGAUACCCGAGUA